RNAcentral lists this ribosomal RNA (465 nucleotides) under Vreelandella stevensii. RNAcentral describes it as "partial 16S ribosomal RNA". It matches the Rfam family "Bacterial small subunit ribosomal RNA", at positions 338 to 795 of the family's 1533-position model. Lineage: Bacteria; Pseudomonadati; Pseudomonadota; Gammaproteobacteria; Oceanospirillales; Halomonadaceae. The record is from RNAcentral.
CCUACGGGAGGCAGCAGUGGGGAAUAUUGGACAAUGGGGGCAACCCUGAUCCAGCCAUGCCGCGUGUGUGAAGAAGGCCCUCGGGUUGUAAAGCACUUUCAGUGAGGAAGAACGCCUGGUGGUUAAUACCCAUCAGGAAAGACAUCACUCACAGAAGAAGCACCGGCUAACUCCGUGCCAGCAGCCGCGGUAAUACGGAGGGUGCGAGCGUUAAUCGGAAUUACUGGGCGUAAAGCGCGCGUAGGUGGCUUGAUAAGCCGGUUGUGAAAGCCCCGGGCUCAACCUGGGAACGGCAUCCGGAACUGUCAAGCUAGAGUGCAGGAGAGGAAGGUAGAAUUCCCGGUGUAGCGGUGAAAUGCGUAGAGAUCGGGAGGAAUACCAGUGGCGAAGGCGGCCUUCUGGACUGCCACUGACACUGAGGUGCGAAAGCGUGGGUAGCAAACAGGAUUAGAUACCCUGGUAGUC